CUGGAGCGGACACACGCGCGUGCUUCCACGCACACGCUUACGUACUGGUAGAGGGCCCCAUCUAGAGGUAGAGGGCCCCAUCUAGAGGUAGAGGGCCCUAUCUAGAGCCAGAACGGAGCAGCUGAGUCCAGCUAGUGUUCAAUGAAGCGCCAGGCUCGACAUUAACAUCAGUGGUGGAACAAGUAUUCAGAUCCUUUGCUUCAGUAAGAGUAGGCCUACUAAUACCACACUGUAAAAAUACUCUGUGAAAGUAAAGGCCUGCAUAAAAAAUUUUACUUAAGUAAAAGUAUGUAAGUAUCAUAAGGAAAAUGUAGCCUACUUAAAGUAUUAAAAGUAAAAGUAGGCUACUGGAUGUAGAAAAACCCUCCCAUGUUAGAAAGUGUAAAGGAUCCAACCAGUUGUGUGUUUAAUUCUUACAAUUGACCUUUGUAGAAAAUCAUACAGGCUAAAUAUUUGACCCAAUGUCUGGACUUUACGUAUUAUAUUUAGGUUAGGAUUAUACUUACUCAUACCCACUACAAUAGACAUCCACUGAGAUGGGGUAAAGUGUCUGAAUAUUCCCACUAAUGGUGGUUUGAACCAGGCCUGAUGAUGUGGGGUGUUGCAAUUAAAUAGCACCUUAAACCACUAUAGGAUGAAGUAGCCUAUACACGGUUUAAAUCUCCUGUAUACUGUUCAUGUUCCUACAUAACUUCUGUCCACAUGAUGUCCUCAGGGAGUGAAAACAUGUGUAUGUUGCUUCUUACCUACAUGAUAUAUUCACAUUACAUUUGACUUUGUACAGAAUAUAAAGUAUAUUAUACUAGA
Long non-coding RNA from Perca fluviatilis (European perch), 807 nucleotides. RefSeq lists it as uncharacterized. The transcript is spliced from 2 exons. Lineage: Eukaryota; Metazoa; Chordata; Actinopteri; Perciformes; Percidae. The record is from RefSeq and is a predicted model, not a curated record.